UUUGGCGCAAAGAAUAUCUAGGACCACAUCAUCUUGUAUUUGCACCGGUCCUUCAAAUCAAUCAAGAAAACAUAAACCUUUCUUCUCACUGCCUAGUACUACUACAAAGGGGCUGUUUGGAUAUGAGGUGCUAAACUUUAACAGUGUCACAUCGGAUGUUCGGAUGCUAAUUAGGAGGACUAAAUAUGAGCUAAUUAUAAAACUAAUUGCAGAACCUUG
RNAcentral lists this long non-coding RNA (219 nucleotides) under Setaria italica (foxtail millet). RNAcentral describes it as "long non-coding RNA (SITA_LNC007015)". Lineage: Eukaryota; Viridiplantae; Streptophyta; Magnoliopsida; Poales; Poaceae. The record is from RNAcentral.